RNAcentral lists this ribosomal RNA (414 nucleotides) under uncultured bacterium. RNAcentral's name for it is "bacterial SSU rRNA". It matches the Rfam family "Bacterial small subunit ribosomal RNA", at positions 358 to 774 of the family's 1533-position model. The record is from RNAcentral.
GGAAUAUUCCACAAUGGGGGAAACCCUGAUGGAGCGACGCCGCGUGAGUGAAGAAGGGCUUCGGCUCGUAAAGCUCUUUUCUCGUUGACGAAUUAGCCUUCGGGGCAGUUGACGGUAUCCAACCAGAAAGCCACGGCUAACUACGUGCCAGCAGCCGCGGUAAUACGUAGGUGGCAAGCGUUAUCCGGAUUUAUUGGGCGUAAAGCGAGCGCAGGCGGUUUCUUAAGUCUGAUGUGAAAGCCUUCGGCUUAACCGAAGAAGUGCAUCGGAAACUGGGAAACUUGAGUGCAGAAGAGGACAGUGGAACUCCAUGUGUAGCGGUGAAAUGCGUAGAUAUAUGGAAGAACACCAGUGGCGAAGGCGGCUGUCUGGUCUGUAACUGACGCUGAGGCUCGAAAGCAUGGGUAGCGAACA